RNAcentral lists this transfer RNA (77 nucleotides) under Oligoflexia bacterium. RNAcentral's name for it is "tRNA-Arg". It matches the Rfam family "tRNA". Rfam says of the family: Transfer RNA (tRNA) molecules are approximately 80 nucleotides in length. The record is from RNAcentral. Lineage: Bacteria; Pseudomonadati; Bdellovibrionota; Oligoflexia.
GCGGGAAUAGCUCAGAUGGAUAGAGUAGUUGGCUUCGAACCAAUUGGUCGGGGGUUCAAUUCCCUCUUCCCGUGCCA